UGAUAAAGGUGUUUAUGCAAGUUGACUCCUAUUUGAUGGCUUCAAGGUUACUUCGGGGCCCUGGGAUGAUAAGUAGUCCAGGCCGUGAGGGCCUGUGGCCCGGCUUGGGCAGCAGCUCACUCCAUGGCAACAGGAGGAAGUAUCCCUUCUGAUGAGGAGUAGGCUACUGGCUUGGAAAGAUUAUGAUGGCUGCAAGGAAUGAUUUGGAACCAUACGAUACACUAGCCCCAAAGGCAGCUCCAGGGACUAAGGAGGAGCCUAAUCUGGUCCCUUCCAUCACUGACCAAUGAUUAGUGGGCUAUGCCUGUGAAGAGGUUAGCAGGGCAGUCAUCUGAUUCUGGCUUCACAGAGGCAAGACAAAGCGUUGCCCUAACUGUGGAACCCAUUACAAGCUGGUACCCCACCAGCUGAGCCACUGACCCCUGGAUUGGUUUACUUGAAAUGUGUUAUAAUGUUUUCUUCCCUCCAAUAAAAGACUAGCCAUUUUCCUGACUCUACCAUUUAAAAAAAAAAAUUUAUGAAAUGGUACCCAAGAGACAAAAAAAAGUAUGGUUAAACCUGAGAAGUUUAGACCAAGGAGUGAUGUCCUCAUGAAAUUAUUGAAAGUCUGAAUUAUGAAACUUUUUUAAAAGCCAAUAAUAUAUACUUCAAGUUACUCAGACAGUUGUCAGCCAGCUUCUGAUUGUGUUAGGCAUCCUGACUAUAUCAGGUUCACUAGGGCUGACUAGAUGGGAAAUUUUCAAAAUCAAUAUACACUUAUUAAGCACCUACUGUGUGCCAGGCGCUGUGCUAAGCACUGAAUAUUUUAACAUUUAAAGACAUAGUUCUUGUGACUUUCCUACUUCUAUGUACCUGCUGUAUCCUUGAAACAGAAAAACAAUGCUUGUGUUAUAUAUACCUAGAGUUGAAAUAUCAGAAAAGCCUAGAGUCCCUAAAAAGGGAAGUACCAAGCUCAUCUCCCAAUUUUUCCAGUCAUUGUUACCUGAAUACUUCUAUAGAAAAUGUCCAAAUAUAAUUUAGAUCACUGUUCUACAUUAAGCUCCUCAGCAGAGCUACUAGUUUUCAUGUGAAGAUUUUUUAGUGCUGUAGACAUAAUUUGUUAUACAAGUAUAAAGGUUUGAAGAAACUUAAUAGUAUUAGAAUUUUAAUGAGUUUAAAACAUGACUCCAAUACCUGAAAUUUGGGCUUUAUCUACCUACCUUUCUUUCCCAUGAGUUCUUUUCAUGAGGGACCAAAGAGUGAUACUUGGAACCAAAACUUUCUGUUGUACAUGUGUAUCAACUUGGCUAUCUAAAUUAUUUGCUCCUCUAAAGUAGCAGUGGAUUUGGAGUCAUUAGUCCUCCAUAGAACUCAGUUUCCCCAUUUGUAAAAUAAAAGGAUUGGACUAAAUGACCUCUGAAGUUCCUUCCAGCUCAGUGUAUAAUUUUGUGUUUCUGCCUAAUGAAAGAGUAAGGAAUGGGAUGAAGGGAAUUUUUUUUUUUAAUAAAAAUGUUUGUUAACAAACACUGAAGGGGAAGAAGUUGCUCAUCACCAGUUGCCAGUUAACUUUUAUAAAUGCACUUUUUUUCUUUUUCCCUUUCCCCAUCAGGGACAUAGUUAAAUGAACCAUGUAAGAUUUUCUUUCUGAACUAAUUUUAUGGGACCCUCAAAUAUGUAUUUCUUCCUGUUUGUUAUGUUUCUUUAAGCAUGUGUGCAUUUUCUUACCAGAAAGUGCCAUUUUCAAUGUAUCGCCAGUAAAUCUUUUAUGUCAAUAAAAAAAAAUCACCCAUGUG
Trichosurus vulpecula (common brushtail) is the source of this 1772-nucleotide RNA transcript. It is a transcript of the gene named cytochrome c oxidase subunit 5B, mitochondrial-like, with no coding region annotated. Lineage: Eukaryota; Metazoa; Chordata; Mammalia; Diprotodontia; Phalangeridae. The record is from RefSeq and is a predicted model, not a curated record. The transcript has a single exon.